CCUACGGGUGGCUGCAGUGGGGAAUAUUGGACAAUGGGCGAAAGCCUGAUCCAGCCAUGCCGCGUGUGUGAAGAAGGCCUUCGGGUUGUAAAGCACUUUCAGUGGGGAAGAAAGCCUUGGGGCUAAUACCCUCGAGGAAGGACAUCACCCACAGAAGAAGCACCGGCUAACUCCGUGCCAGCAGCCGCGGUAAUACGGAGGGUGCGAGCGUUAAUCGGAAUUACUGGGCGUAAAGCGCGCGUAGGCGGUCUGAUAAGCCGGUUGUGAAAGCCCCGGGCUCAACCUGGGAACGGCAUCCGGAACUGUCAGGCUAGAGUGCAGGAGAGGGAGGUAGAAUUCCCGGUGGAGCGGUGAAAUGCGUAGAGAUCGGGAGGAAUACCAGUGGCGAAGGCGGCCUUCUGGACUGACACUGACGCUGAGGUGCGAAAGCGUGGGUAGCAAACAGGAUUAGAUACCCUGGUAGUC
This 465-nucleotide ribosomal RNA is filed under the name Vreelandella stevensii. RNAcentral's name for it is "partial 16S ribosomal RNA". It matches the Rfam family "Bacterial small subunit ribosomal RNA", at positions 338 to 795 of the family's 1533-position model. Lineage: Bacteria; Pseudomonadati; Pseudomonadota; Gammaproteobacteria; Oceanospirillales; Halomonadaceae. The record is from RNAcentral.